Non-coding RNA from Schistosoma rodhaini, 48 nucleotides. NCBI's taxonomy places the organism in Eukaryota, Metazoa, Platyhelminthes, Trematoda, Strigeidida, Schistosomatidae. The record is from Rfam.
GUCUAAGUGACGAGUCCAAAAUAGAACGAAACGCGCUUCAAACUGGAU